RNAcentral lists this ribosomal RNA (527 nucleotides) under Diaporthe longicolla. RNAcentral describes it as "eukaryotic LSU rRNA". The stretch from base 150 to 303 matches the Rfam family "5.8S ribosomal RNA". The record is from RNAcentral. Lineage: Eukaryota; Fungi; Ascomycota; Sordariomycetes; Diaporthales; Diaporthaceae.
ACCCUUUGUGAACUUAUACCUACUGUUGCCUCGGCGUCAGGCCGGCCUCCUCACCGAGGCCCCCCGGAGACGGGGAGCAGCCCGCCGGCGGCCAACUAAACUCUUGUUUCUAUAGUGAAUCUCUGAGUAAAAAAACAUAAAUGAAUCAAAACUUUCAACAACGGAUCUCUUGGUUCUGGCAUCGAUGAAGAACGCAGCGAAAUGCGAUAAGUAAUGUGAAUUGCAGAAUUCAGUGAAUCAUCGAAUCUUUGAACGCACAUUGCGCCCCCUGGUAUUCCGGGGGGCAUGCCUGUUCGAGCGUCAUUUCAACCCUCAAGCCUGGCUUGGUGAUGGGGCACUGCUUCGAGAGGAGCAGGCCCUGAAAUUCAGUGGCGAGCUCGCCAGGACCCCGAGCGUAGUAGUUACAUCUCGCUCUGGAAGGCCCUGGCGGUGCCCUGCGGGGUAAACCCCCCAACUUCUGAAAAUUUGACCUCGGAUCAGGUAGGAAUACCCGCUGAACUUAAGCAUAUCAAUAAGCGGGAGGAAAU